UUACCCUAUUUGUAUGUACAAUGUCCAGAUAUUCCUAUCCAUCCAACGUCUGAAGGGGAUGCAUUUACAAAUGCUGUCUCUCUAGCCAUGGAGAAAGCCUUGAAGCUCAAAGGCAAUGCUAGCGUAAAACGGCAACACAUGCAUGGUUGCAGCCUUGUACGAGCAAGGAGAUUUUAUGGUUAUCAUGCAUCUGAAGAGCUGUUUGUCAAGAUAUACCUGU
Long non-coding RNA from Eucalyptus grandis, 220 nucleotides. RefSeq lists it as uncharacterized. NCBI's taxonomy places the organism in Eukaryota, Viridiplantae, Streptophyta, Magnoliopsida, Myrtales, Myrtaceae. The record is from RefSeq and is a predicted model, not a curated record. The transcript is spliced from 3 exons.